AUCAAUAGUACGAAAUUCUAACAGAUCCAAAUUCAAAUCCCAAUCCGAUCCAGUCUCAUCUCUCCUUUGCAUUCACUCACCAUUCCCCAAUGGGUUUCCCAGCCAACGGCUCCGACGCCGGCUCCAAGCCGCUCAAGUUUCUCAUCUACGGCCGCACUGGCUGGAUUGGGGGCUUGCUCGGCAAGCUCUGCCAAGCUCAGUCCAUUGACUUCACCUACGGCUCCGGCCGCCUCGAGAACCGCGCCUCCCUCGAAGCCGACAUCGCCGCCGUCAAGCCCA
This 279-nucleotide long non-coding RNA is filed under the name Citrus sinensis (sweet orange). RNAcentral describes it as "long non-coding RNA (CSIN_LNC001974)". The record is from RNAcentral. Lineage: Eukaryota; Viridiplantae; Streptophyta; Magnoliopsida; Sapindales; Rutaceae.